Molecule: non-coding RNA, 29 nt
Filed under: Homo sapiens (human)
Lineage: Eukaryota; Metazoa; Chordata; Mammalia; Primates; Hominidae
Source: RNAcentral
UCCCACAAGGAUGGUGUAAUACUGUGUGA